RNAcentral lists this ribosomal RNA (216 nucleotides) under Glomeromycotina sp. Its description in RNAcentral is "partial small subunit ribosomal RNA". The stretch from base 40 to 216 matches the Rfam family "Eukaryotic small subunit ribosomal RNA", at positions 686 to 864 of the family's 1831-position model. Lineage: Eukaryota; Fungi; Glomeromycota. The record is from RNAcentral.
GGGUCAGUAGGUUGGUCGUGCCACCGGUACGUACUGGUCUCACUGAUUCCUCCUUCCUGAAGAACCGUAAUGCCAUUAAUAUGGUGUUGCGGGGAAACAGGACUGUUACUUUGAAAAAAUUAGAGUGUUUAAAGCAAGCUAACGCUUGAAUACAUUAGCAUGGAAUAAUGAAAUAGGACGAUCGAUCCUAUUUUGCUGGUUUCUAGGAUUGACGUA